AUGAAGGUUGGACGAGGGAUGAGCUGUCUCCUUUACGUAAUUUGAAUUUAACUUUUGAGUGAAAAGGCUCAAAUUAUUUAGUGGGACGAUAAGACCCUAUAAAACUUUAUAUAAGUUUAAUUUGGCUUACAAUUUGAGUGAAAAGUAGCUUUAUUAGGCUUAUAUUUCGUUGGGGAGAUGUAGAUAUAAUGUGUAACUGUCUGUUUAAUUUAAUAAUUAUAAUUAGUGUGUGAUCCUUCUUUGUGGAUUAAAAGUAUAAGUUACUUUAGGGAUAACAGCGUGAUUUUCUUUGAGAGUUCUUAUCGACAAGAGUAGUUGCGACCUCGAUGUUGAAUUAAAAUUUCAGUUAGGUGUAGCCGUCUAGCUGGUAGGUCUGUUCGACCUUUAAAAUUUUACAUGAUUUGAGUUCAAACCGGUGUGAGCCAGGUUGGUUUCUAUCUAA
RNAcentral lists this ribosomal RNA (442 nucleotides) under Macrobrachium superbum. RNAcentral's name for it is "partial 16S ribosomal RNA". It matches the Rfam family "Bacterial large subunit ribosomal RNA", at positions 1992 to 2645 of the family's 2925-position model. Lineage: Eukaryota; Metazoa; Arthropoda; Malacostraca; Decapoda; Palaemonidae. The record is from RNAcentral.